AGACCCGAAACCCGGUGAUCUAGCCAUGGGCAGGUUGAAGGUUGGGUAACACUAACUGGAGGACCGAACCGACUAAUGUUGAAAAAUUAGCGGAUGACCUGUGGCUGGGGGUGAAAGGCCAAUCAAACCGGGAGAUAGCUGGUUCUCCCCGAAAGCUAUUUAGGUAGCGCCUCGUGAAUUCAUCUCCGGGGGUAGAGCACUGUUUCGGCUAGGGGGCCAUCCCGGCUUACCAACCCGAUGCAAACUGCGAAUACCGGAGAAUGUUAUCACGGGAGACACACGGCGGGUGCUAACGUCCGUCGUGAAGAGGGAAACAACCCAGACCGCCAGCUAAGGUCCCAAAGUCAUGGUUAAGUGGGAAACGAUGUGGGAAGGCCCAGACAGCCAGGAUGUUGGCUUAGAAGCAGCCAUCAUUUAAAGAAAGCGUAAUAGCUCACUGGUCGAGUCGGCCUGCGCGGAAGAUGUAACGGGGCUAAACCAUGCACCGAAGCUGCGGCAGCGACGCUGAUGCGUUGUUGGGUAGGGGAGCGUUCUGUAAGCCUGUGAAGGUGGCCUGUGAGGGUUGCUGGAGGUAUCAGAAGUGCGAAUGCUGACAUAAGUAACGAUAAAGCGGGUGAAAAGCCCGCUCGCCGGAAGACCAAGGGUUCCUGUCCAACGUUAAUCGGGGCAGGGUGAGUCGACCCCUAAGGCGAGGCCGAAAGGCGUAGUCGAUGGGAAACGGGUUAAUAUUCCCGUACUUGGUGUUACUGCGAAGGGGGGACGGAGAAGGCUAUGUUGGCCGGGCGACGGUUGUCCCGGUUUAAGCGUGUAGGUGUGUGUUCCAGGUAAAUCCGGUUCACUUUAACACUGAGGCGUGAUGACGAGGCACUACGGUGCUGAAGCAACAAAUGCCCUGCUUCCAGGAAAAGCCUCUAAGCAUCAGGUAACAUCAAAUCGUACCCCAAACCGACACAGGUGGUCAGGUAGAGAAUACCAAGGCGCUUGAGAGAACUCGGGUGAAGGAACUAGGCAAAAUGGUGCCGUAACUUCGGGAGAAGGCACGCUGACACGUAGGUGAAGUGAUUUACUCAUGGAGCUGAAGUCAGUCGAAGAUACCAGCUGGCUGCAACUGUUUAUUAAAAACACAGCACUGUGCAAACACGAAAGUGGACGUAUACGGUGUGACGCCUGCCCGGUGCCGGAAGGUUAAUUGAUGGGGUCAGCGCAAGCGAAGCUCCUGAUCGAAGCCCCGGUAAACGGCGGCCGUAACUAUAACGGUCCUAAGGUAGCGAAAUUCCUUGUCGGGUAAGUUCCGACCUGCACGAAUGGCGUAAUGAUGGCCAGGCUGUCUCCACCCGAGACUCAGUGAAAUUGAACUCGCUGUGAAGAUGCAGUGUACCCGCGGCAAGACGGAAAGACCCCGUGAACCUUUACUAUAGCUUGACACUGAACAUUGAGCCUUGAUGUGUAGGAUAGGUGGGAGGCUUUGAAGUGUGGACGCCAGUCUGCAUGGAGCCGGCCUUGAAAUACCACCCUUUAAUGUUUGAUGUUCUAACGUGGACCCGUGAUCCGGGUUGCGGACAGUGUCUGGUGGGUAGUUUGACUGGGGCGGUCUCCUCCUAAAGAGUAACGGAGGAGCACGAAGGUUGGCUAAUCCUGGUCGGACAUCAGGAGGUUAGUGCAAUGGCAUAAGCCAGCUUGACUGCGAGCGUGACGGCGCGAGCAGGUGCGAAAGCAGGUCAUAGUGAUCCGGUGGUUCUGAAUGGAAGGGCCAUCGCUCAACGGAUAAAAGGUACUCCGGGGAUAACAGGCUGAUACCGCCCAAGAGUUCAUAUCGACGGCGGUGUUUGGCACCUCGAUGUCGGCUCAUCACAUCCUGGGGCUGAAGUAGGUCCCAAGGGUAUGGCUGUUCGCCAUUUAAAGUGGUACGCGAGCUGGGUUUAGAACGUCGUGAGACAGUUCGGUCCCUAUCUGCCGUGGGCGCUGGAGAACUGAGGGGGGCUGCUCCUAGUACGAGAGGACCGGAGUGGACGCAUCACUGGUGUUCGGGUUGUCAUGCCAAUGGCACUGCCCGGUAGCUAAAUGCGGAAGAGAUAAGUGCUGAAAGCAUCUAAGCACGAAACUUGCCCCGAGAUGAGUUCUCCCUGAGACUUUAGGUCUCCUGAAGGAACGUUGAAGACGACGACGUUGAUAGGCCGGGUGUGUAAGCGCAGCGAUGCGUUGAGCUAACCGGUACUAAUGAACCGUGAGGCUUAACCUU
This 2239-nucleotide ribosomal RNA is filed under the name Salmonella enterica. RNAcentral's name for it is "partial 23S ribosomal RNA". It matches the Rfam family "Bacterial large subunit ribosomal RNA", at positions 711 to 2925 of the family's 2925-position model. Lineage: Bacteria; Pseudomonadati; Pseudomonadota; Gammaproteobacteria; Enterobacterales; Enterobacteriaceae. The record is from RNAcentral.